This 492-nucleotide ribosomal RNA is filed under the name uncultured bacterium. RNAcentral describes it as "partial 16S ribosomal RNA". It matches the Rfam family "Bacterial small subunit ribosomal RNA", at positions 30 to 507 of the family's 1533-position model. The record is from RNAcentral.
AUUGAACGCUGGCGGCAUGCUUUACACAUGCAAGUCGAACGGUAACAGGCCUUCGGGUGCUGACGAGUGGCGAACGGGUGAGUAAUGCAUCGGAACGUACCCAGAGGUGGGGGAUAACGCAGCGAAAGCUGUGCUAAUACCGCAUGUGAUCUGUGGAUGAAAGCGGGGGACCGAGCAGCAAUGCUUGGCCUCGCGCCUUUGGAGCGGCCGAUGUCGGAUUAGCUAGUUGGUGGGGUAAAGGCCUACCAAGGCGACGAUCCGUAGCUGGUCUGAGAGGACGACCAGCCACACUGGGACUGAGACACGGCCCAGACUCCUACGGGAGGCAGCAGUGGGGAAUUUUGGACAAUGGGCGCAAGCCUGAUCCAGCAAUGCCGCGUGCGGGAAGAAGGCCUUCGGGUUGUAAACCGCUUUUGGCAGGAACGAAACGGUGUCCGCUAAUACCGGGCGCUAAUGACGGUACCUUAAGAAUAAGCACCGGCUAACUACGUG